This 2623-nucleotide ribosomal RNA is filed under the name Triticum aestivum (bread wheat). RNAcentral's name for it is "partial small subunit ribosomal RNA". Lineage: Eukaryota; Viridiplantae; Streptophyta; Magnoliopsida; Poales; Poaceae. The record is from RNAcentral.
GUUUUAGGGAUUUUUUUCAGAUAGAAGAGGUGCAGAGAAUGAGAGGGACAUUUUUUUGUUAGCACGCGGUAUCAGAGAGGAGGAGGGGUGCCGAGGAGGGGUACCAGAGGAGGAGGGGUCUCUUUCCUUUAGUUAGUAUAGAGAGUUUAACCUCGUUCCUUUAAUCCUUUAACUAGACCACGCGAGUGCGGUACCUUAGAGAGGAGGAGGAGGGUACCUUUUUUGUUUGUUUAGAGAGAGUUUAACCUCGUUGGUUCAACCCCUUAUCUAGUCAGGAUCCUAAGUUAGGAUCCAAACGACUGCAUGCGAGAAACCCGUGAAGCACCUCUAGCGCUGCCCCGUCUUGGUUCGGGUACGGCGGUAGAAUAUUUAAUUGACGUCGGACUUUGUUUGAUAGAUGUGUAUUUCCUCCGAGGACAGCCAGCACUUGUAGCAGCGACCACUUGGAAGAGGACAAACCAGUUGAGGAAAACAAAUGGAAGUUUUGUUACCGUAUGCUAUACGAGGUACUCUAAUCGUUAGUCUUCCUAAGGACCUUUCAGUUCCAGUCUUAUUAAUCCGAUACCCUACGGUAACUAGAGUUGUUGUUACUUGAAUAAUCGGAACUGUACUAUGAUGAACUACUUCUCCCAUGAUACUAUGUACCGUUCCAUUACUUCGUAUACCAAUUGUUCAAGUCUGGUAACUAGGUUCUUCCAAAUCAGAUGUACUAUCGUUUAAAAUUCCAAUACAGACGUUACUUAAAGGCAGGUCAACUUUCGCUUUUCCAAGAUUUAAAGAACGUGUGCCGUUUUUUAGUUCUCUAUUUUCCAGUUUUUUAUAGUUUUAUCGUCUUGUUUCGAAGUGCAAAACAUGACAACUUCAAGAAAGGUGUUCUCUGUCGGUUUUCUAAAUGAAUAGACUACAGUAACCGUAUCGUUCAAUGUAUCCUGUAUAACUUCUUUGUGUCUGUUGGGUGCCCUAAAGUUUCUAAGUUCUAUAACACGAAGCUUAGCUCCUAGUUUUUUAAUUAUAAUCUGAUACCCCAUUAUUCCAAUCAGUUUAACUACUUCUAAGAAACCCCGCACACCAGUAUCAUUGUAGUUGAUGACAAUCUUUUGACUUUCUCAUGAGCGACAGUAGAUGUCCACGCUGGUCUCAAAUAUAGCUAAACCUAUAGGGACUUUGUUUACUCGAAGUUUGCUCCUUUUCAAGAUAUGACGUCUUCGUUACUAAUUCAGUUAAUUAUGUAGUCUACUCACCAUGAUGUAUCCUACGGCGGUUACGUUGUUUUUUCAUGUCUUUGUUCCCUUGGUGAAGAUGACAGGCUUUACAGUUUUGCUUGGACUCUUCUAUACAGGUUCCAUGUUUGACUUUGAUCUCUAUACACUAGACUCACGUUGUUGUUGAUCGUGGUACAAACUCCGUCUUCGUUUUUUUAACUAAUUCGUUAGACGUUCAAAAAACUAUCUCUCCCUACUAACACUAUAGGUACUUGUCUGUUUUGUUUAGGUCUUUUAUACACCCGUCUCUAACUAAAAAGUUAAGUCUAACUUACUGAUAUUAAACUUCAUGCCAAUAGUUCUUAUGUGACAAUUAUCUUAGAAAAAGUAUCUAAGACUUUUUCUAUGUAGUCAUGUAGUAAGUUUACAACUCGUCUACCUCCUACUAUUUGGGUAAGAUUGUCUGUGAUUUUUCUGAUCCUCCUGAUCCUUGUGUGCAGUACAACAUGUAAGACUACUUCUUAGUCUUUUAGACCUAUCAGUUCUCUUUCUACUUAGGUAUAGACAACAACUAUUCUUUAGAUUCUUUUUCCCUUAAGUUUUUCUAUCGGUACUCGUUCGCCUGUUCAAUAGUCAAUACUUUUGAUAUUUCGUUCUUGGUCUCCUACUACUUGGGUGAUAAUUGGCCUGAUUUUCUCCAUCCUCUUCAUCGUGUUGAGUACAACAUGUGGAACUACUUCUUGGUUGUUGACUUCCAUCAGUCCUUUAUUACUUUAGUUUUAGAUACCUUCGUCCGGGGUUCUCCUUUGCGCGGCAUUGAGCGUUUACACGACGAUAACUAUCGUUUGUUCAUUUGUUAGUGGUACUUUUUCUUAGUCUUGUCCGUCCAUGAGUCCUCGUGUUACUAAGUUCCGGAUCCUGUUCCGCAUCAACACGGUUAUUUCUUAACUACUUGUUUCUGUAAGUCUUCACACCACAUAGUUCUUGAGCUUUCAGUUUAGCAACUAAUCACCUUUAGGUCAAUAAAUCGUACAUUAUCUUGUAUAUCCUCGUAGUCUAAACAUGAAAUAUAGUUGUAGUAACAAAUUCUAACCAAAAUUAUUUACAUUUACGCAUGGAAGCACAAUCAUUUCAGUAAUCACUUUUCGUCGAUGUACCCACCAUGUAGUCAAAAUGUUUUUUUGUAACAGUAAAUAUCAUGUGUAUAAUCGCUAAAAGUGUACAAGUAGGCGAUGUCUUAUCCGGAGAGCUGCUGUAUGUUUAAAAGUGUACAACUCUGUGAUGUCUCUUUCGUAUACUGUCGGUUUGUUAGUUGCUACACGUGUAGUAGUAGACAAGAGCGGUUCUCGGGUAACACGCACCUUGAUUGCUGGUGAUUUUGACUUCACGUGGUGAAUCAUUAGACGUAACGGUUAGUUAUC